Manis pentadactyla (Chinese pangolin) is the source of this 72-nucleotide non-coding RNA. Lineage: Eukaryota; Metazoa; Chordata; Mammalia; Pholidota; Manidae. The record is from the annotation of a RefSeq genome assembly.
GGGGGUGUAGCUCAGUGGUAGAGCAUAUGCUUUGCAUGCAUGAAGCCCCGGGUUCAAUUCCUGGCAUCUCCA